GACGAACGCUGGCGGCGUGCCUAGUACAUGCAAGUUGAGCGCUGAAGGUUGGUACUUGUACCAACUGGAUGAGCAGCGAACGGGUGAGUAACGCGUGGGGAAUCUGCCUUUGAGCGGGGGACAACAUUUGGAGACGAAUGCUAAUACCGCAUAAAAACUUUAAACACAAGUUUUAAGUUUGAAAGAUGCAAUUGCAUCACUCAAAGAUGAUCCCGCGUUGUAUUAGCUAGUUGGUGAGGUAAAGGCUCACCAAGGCGAUGAUACAUAGCCGACCUGAGAGGGUGAUCGGCCACAUUGGGACUGAGACACGGCCCAAACUCCUACGGGAGGCAGCAGUAGGGAAUCUUCGGCAAUGGACGAAAGUCUGACCGAGCAACGCCGCGUGAGUGAAGAAGGUUUUCGGAUCGUAAAACUCUGUUGGUAGAGAAGAACGUUGGUGAGAGUGGAAAGCUCAUCAAGUGACGGUAACUACCCAGAAAGGGACGGCUAACUACGUG
Molecule: ribosomal RNA, 497 nt
Filed under: uncultured bacterium
Lineage: Bacteria
Description: partial 16S ribosomal RNA
Rfam family: Bacterial small subunit ribosomal RNA
Source: RNAcentral